UACGAAGGGGGCUAGCGUUGUUCGGAAUCACUGGGCGUAAAGGGCGCGUAGGCGGCCGUUCAAGUCGGGGGUGAAAGCCUGUGGCUCAACCACAGAAUUGCCUCGAUACUGGACGGCUCGAGACCGGAAGAGGUCAGUGGAACUGCGAGUGUAGAGGUGAAAUUCGUAGAUAUUCGGAAGAACACCAGUGGCGAAGGCGGCUCACUGGCCCGGUACUGACGCUGAGGUGCGAAAGCGUGGGGAGCAAACAGG
RNAcentral lists this ribosomal RNA (252 nucleotides) under uncultured bacterium. Its description in RNAcentral is "partial 16S ribosomal RNA". It matches the Rfam family "Bacterial small subunit ribosomal RNA", at positions 524 to 776 of the family's 1533-position model. The record is from RNAcentral.